CUUCAUAAAACUAGACUUCCCCGAUGGAUAGUCUUCAGACGAGCCUCCACAUCAGGCAAAUCUCAGAUGGACUUUUCUAGCAAUCAGACUCCUACCCGACUUUGCCAAGAAAAAAUCUCCAUCCGAGCUUCUACAGUAGAUGACUCCCACCUGUAGCGUCAGCGCCCGAGGCAUCCGACAACAGUAGACUCGUUAGCAACCUUGGAACAUCCGAGCUUCUUCU
Molecule: long non-coding RNA, 223 nt
Filed under: Elaeis guineensis (African oil palm)
Lineage: Eukaryota; Viridiplantae; Streptophyta; Magnoliopsida; Arecales; Arecaceae
Description: long non-coding RNA (EGUI_LNC077910)
Source: RNAcentral